GAUGAACGCUGGCGGCGUGCCUAAUACAUGCAAGUCGAGCGAACAGACGAGGAGCUUGCUCCUCUGACGUUAGCGGCGGACGGGUGAGUAACACGUGGAUAACCUACCUAUAAGGCUGGGAUAACUUCGGGAAACCGGAGCUAAUACCGGAUAAUAUAUUGAACCGCAUGGUUCAAUAGUGAAAGACGGUUUUGCUGUCACUUAUCGAUGGAUCCGCGCCGCAUUAGCUAGUUGGUAAGGUAACGGCUUACCAAGGCAACGAUGCGUAGCCGACCUGAGAGGGUGAUCGGCCACACUGGAACUGAGACACGGUCCAGACUCCUACGGGAGGCAGCAGUAGGGAAUCUUCCGCAAUGGGCGAAAGCCUGACGGAGCAACGCCGCGUGAGUGAUGAAGGUCUUCGGAUCGUAAAACUCUGUUAUUAGGGAAGAACAAAUGUGUAAGUAACUAUGCACGUCUUGACGGUACCUAAUCAGAAAGCCACGGCUAACUACGUG
This 497-nucleotide ribosomal RNA is filed under the name uncultured bacterium. RNAcentral describes it as "partial 16S ribosomal RNA". It matches the Rfam family "Bacterial small subunit ribosomal RNA", at positions 28 to 507 of the family's 1533-position model. The record is from RNAcentral.